Molecule: ribosomal RNA, 371 nt
Filed under: uncultured organism
Description: bacterial SSU rRNA
Rfam family: Bacterial small subunit ribosomal RNA
Source: RNAcentral
CGUAGGUGGCGAGCGUUGUCCGGAUUUACUGGGCGUAAAGAGCGCGCAGGCGGCUGGUCAAGUCCGAUGUGAAAGCUCCCGGCUUAACUGGGAAAUUGCAUCGGAAACUGAUCGGCUGGAAGGUGGGAGAGGGUAGCGGAAUUCCCGGUGUAGUGGUGAAAUGCGUUGAUAUCGGGAGGAACACCAGUGGCGAAAGCGGCUACCUGGCCCAUUCUUGACGCUGAGGCGCGAAAGCUAGGGGAGCAAACGGGAUUAGAUACCCCGGUAGUCCUAGCCGUAAACGAUGAACACUAGGCGUAGUCGGUAUCGACCCCGGCUGUGCCGUAGCCAACGCAUUAAGUGUUCCGCCUGGGGAGUACGGCCGCAAGGCU